This is a non-coding RNA of Podarcis lilfordi (Lilford's wall lizard), 76 nucleotides long. The record is from the annotation of a GenBank genome assembly. NCBI's taxonomy places the organism in Eukaryota, Metazoa, Chordata, Lepidosauria, Squamata, Lacertidae.
UGCAAGAUAGCUCAGUUGGUAGAGCAUGAGACCCUCAACCUCAGGAUCGUGGGUUCGAGCCCCACACUGGGUGAAA